Molecule: long non-coding RNA, 2154 nt
Filed under: Homo sapiens (human)
Lineage: Eukaryota; Metazoa; Chordata; Mammalia; Primates; Hominidae
Description: USP38 divergent transcript, transcript variant 1 (USP38-DT)
Source: RNAcentral
CCCUCUGCCCCUCCGCCCCUCCGCCUGUCCGCCUCUCUCCUUCUCCCUUGUUCCCUCUCUCCCUCCCUGCUCCCCCACCUCCCUCCCGAGUCGUAGACUCCCUUCCCCCCGGCGCUGGGAGUCUCCUUCCCGCCCCGCCGCGCAGGUGCGGCGACGGCCGCGUCACUGGAGAGUGUGUCGAGUCACAGGCGGUCUUCCGCGCGGAGCGUCCCCGGCGGACGCUGCGCAGAUGGCUGCGACUGUAGGAUUCUUGCCGGCUAGUCUUCGUCGGUUCCGCCUGCGUCAGGUUACUCGUGAAAACUCGAAUAAGUGCUAUCGAUGUGAAAUCCGAGGAAAAGAGCAUUUGGGGGAAAAGUUAAAAGGACUUCUGACUCAAACUCCUCCUCUUGAGUUUGCAGUUUGCCACUUCCAGCCUGGCGACUAGGUGCUGAUUAAGACUUGGAAAGAAGACAAGCUCCACCCAAGCUGAGAAGGUCCCUGUCAAGUGCUGCUGACCCCUGAGAUGGCCAUAUGUACAGCUGAAUGGGGGUGGACUCACUAUACUUGUCAAGGGACUGGUAAAAGAGACCCUGGAAGGGUGGGAAAAAGACCAGUGGAAAGUACAUGGGUCACCUGAGGAACCCUUAAAAUUAACUCUGAGAUGAAUCUAAAAAGAAAACAUGGGCUGGUCCCAUUUCUGGAAAUUAAUAUGGCUGGGAUGGGCUACUAUGCAAAGAGAAGAAGGUCAAAGUAGAAACUAUCAGGGGACUCCUCCCUACCCACUCAGGUUGGUAAUUAAUGUAAACAAGAUGGUGGCACCCAAGACUAUAAGAUUUGAUGACUGCCAAGGUUUUUACCUUGUAAGAAUUUGGAAAAUCAGAGACAGCUCUCACAUGUGGAUAAAUAUCCACUUCAUAUGAGGUGCUUGGAAUAGUCAAAUUAGAGGUUUCUAGGGGCUAGGGAGAAAAUAAAUGGGGAGUUAUUGUUUAAUAGGUACAGAGUUUCUCUUUCAAAGAAUGAAAAGUUCUGUAAAUGGAUAGUGGUGAUGAUUGCACAACAGUGUGUACUUAAUGCCACCGAACUGUACACUUAAGAAUGGUAAAUUUUAGGUUAUAUUUUACCACAAUAAAAAAUUAAAAUCAACAGUAAAGAAAUCAAUCCAAUUAAAAAUGGGCAAAAGAUUUCAAGACACAUUUCAAUGAAGAGGAUUUACAUAUGGCAAACAAAUGGAAAGUUGUUUAACAUUUCUAGCUAAUAGGGAAAUGCAAAUUAAGACCAUGAGAUAUUAUAACACAUUUAUUAGAGAACCACUAAAAUAAAAAAUGGUGACAACAUUAAUGCUGGCAAAGAUGCAGACAAACUGAUUUCUCAUACAUUGCAAGUGGAAAUGCAAAAUGGUUUAACCACUCUGGAGAAUUGUUUGGAAGUUUCUUAAAAAUUAAACAUGCAGCUAUCAUAUGAUCAAACUGUUGAACUACUAGGUAUUUAUUCCAGAGAAAUGAAAACUUAUGUUCACACAAAUACAUAUACACAAAUGUCCAAAGCAGCUUUAUCUGCAAUAGCCAACAACCAAAAACAAUCAAAAUUGUCAUCAGUAGGUGAAUGGCUAAACAAACUAUGGUCAUCAGUAUGCUGAAUGGCUAAACAAACUGUGGUACAUUCUUACUGUGGAAUAUUACUUAGCAAUAAAAAGAAAGAAACUAUUGAUGGACACAACUUGGAUGGAUUUCAAGGGCAUUUUUAUGCCAAGUGAAGAAAACUAAUCUCAAAAGUCACAUACUAUGUGAUUCCAUUUGUACGACAUUCUCAAUAUGAGGAAAUUUUAGAGAUGAAGAACAGAUUAGUGGUUGCCAAGGGCUAGGUAUAGAUGGGAGAGGCAGAGGGAUGAGUAGAACUUUUAAUAAAGGGGUAGAAUGAGGGUAAUUCUUGUGGUGAUAGAAUAGUUCUGUACCUUGAUUGCGACUGUUGCAUGACUCCAUGUGUGGUAAAGUGGCAUGGAAUUAUACAUAUGUUGUAUCAAUAUCAAUUUCCUGAUUGUGAUAUUAUGCUAUAGUUAUGUAAGAGGUAACAUUGAGGUAUAACUGAGUGAAGAGUACAGAGGAUUUCUCUGUAUUAUCUUUGCAACUUCGUGUGACUGUAUAAUGAUUUCAAAAUUAAAAAGUUUAAAACAUUUAA